Molecule: ribosomal RNA, 496 nt
Filed under: uncultured bacterium
Lineage: Bacteria
Description: partial 16S ribosomal RNA
Rfam family: Bacterial small subunit ribosomal RNA
Source: RNAcentral
GAUGAACGCUGGCGGCGUGCCUAAUACAUGCAAGUCGAGCGAACAGAUGAGGAGCUUGCUCCUCUGACGUUAGCGGCGGACGGGUGAGUAACACGUGGAUAACCUACCUAUAAGACUGGGAUAACUUCGGGAAACCGGAGCUAAUACCGGAUAAUAUAUUGAACCGCAUGGUUCAAUAGUGAAAGACGGUUUUGCUGUCACUUAUAGAUGGAUCCGCGCCGCAUUAGCUAGUUGGUAAGGUAACGGCUUACCAAGGCAACGAUGCGUAGCCGACCUGAGAGGGUGAUCGGCCACACUGGAACUGAGACACGGUCCAGACUCCUAGGGGAGGCAGCAGUAGGGAAUCUUCCGAAAUGGGCGAAAGCCUGACGGAGCAACGCCGCGUGAGUGAUGAAGGUCUUCGGAUCGUAAAACUCUGUUAUUAGGGAAGAACAAAUGUGUAAGUAACUAUGCACGUCUUGACGGUACCUAAUCAGAAAGCCACGGCUAACUACGU